Molecule: ribosomal RNA, 426 nt
Filed under: uncultured bacterium
Lineage: Bacteria
Description: bacterial SSU rRNA
Rfam family: Bacterial small subunit ribosomal RNA
Source: RNAcentral
GCAGGGAAUAUUGCGCAAUGGGCGAAAGCCUGACGCAGCGACGCCGCGUGAGGGAUGACGGCCUUCGGGUUGUAAACCUCUUUUCUCAGGGAAGAAUCAUGACGGUACCUGAGGAAUAAGUCACUGCUAACUACGUGCCAGCAGCAGCGGUAAUACGUAGGUGGCGAGCAUUAUCCGGAUUUAUUGGGCGUAAAGCGGGUGUAGGCGGUUCUGUAAGUCGGAUGUGAAAUUUCCUGGCUUAACUGGGAAGGGUCAUUCGAGACUGCAGAACUAGAGGGCAGCAGAGGGAGACAGAAUUCCCGGUGUAGUGGUGAAAUGCGUAGAUAUCGGGAGGAAUACCAGUGGCGAAGGCGGUCUCCUGGGCUGUUACUGACGCUGAGGCCCGAAAGCGUGGGGAGCAAACAGGAUUAGAAACCCUUGUAGUCC